GAUGAACGCUGGCGGCGUGCCUAAUACAUGCAAGUCGAGCGAACGGACGAGAAGCUUGCUUCUCUGAUGUUAGCGGCGGACGGGUGAGUAACACGUGGAUAACCUACCUAUAAGACUGGGAUAACUUCGGGAAACCGGAGCUAAUACCGGAUAAUAUUUUGAACCGCAUGGUUCAAAAGUGAAAGACGGUCUUGCUGUCACUUAUAGAUGGAUCCGCGCUGCAUUAGCUAGUUGGUAAGGUAACGGCUUACCAAGGCAACGAUGCAUAGCCGACCUGAGAGGGUGAUCGGCCACACUGGAACUGACACACGGUCCAGACUCCUACGGGAGGCAGCAGUAGGGAAUCUUCCGCAAUGGGCGAAAGCCUGACGGAGCAACGCCGCGUGAGUGAUGAAGGUCUUCGGAUCGUAAAACUCUGUUAUUAGGGAAGAACAUAUGUGUAAGUAACUGUGCACAUCUUGACGGUACCUAAUCAGAAAGCCACGGCUAACUACGUGCCACCAGCCGCGGUAAUACGUAGGUGGCAAGCGUUAUCCGGAAUUAUUGGGCGUAAAGCGCGCGUAGGCGGUUUUUUAAGUCUGAUGUGAAAGCCCACGGCUCAACCGUGGAGGGUCAUUGGAAACUGGAAAACUUGAGUGCAGAAGAGGAAAGUGGAAUUCCAUGUGUAGCGGUGAAAUGCGCAGAGAUAUGGAGGAACACCAGUGGCGAAGGCGACUUUCUGGUCUGUAACUGACGCUGAUGUGCGAAAGCGUGGGGAUCAAACAGGAUUAGAUACCCUGGUAGUCCACGCCGUAAACGAUGAGUGCUAAGUGUUAGGGGGUUUCCGCCCCUUAGUGCUGCAGCUAACGCAUUAAGCACUCCGCCUGGGGAGUACGACCGCAAGGUUGAAACUCAAAGGAAUUGACGGGGACCCGCACAAGCGGUGGAGCAUGUGGUUUAAUUCGAAGCAACGCGAAGAACCUUACCAAAUCUUGACAUCCUUUGACAACUCUAGAGAUAGAGCCUUCCCCUUCGGGGGACAAAGUGACAGGUGGUGCAUGGUUGUCGUCAGCUCGUGUCGUGAGAUGUUGGGUUAAGUCCCGCAACGAGCGCAACCCUUAAGCUUAGUUGCCAUCAUUAAGUUGGGCACUCUAAGAUGACUGCCGGUGACAAACCGGAGGAAGGUGGGGAUGACGUCAAAUCAUCAUGCCCCUUAUGAUCUGGGCUACACACGUGCUACAAUGGACAAUACAAAGGGCAGCGAAACCGCGAGGUCAAGCAAAUCCCAUAAAGUUGUUCUCAGUUCGGAUUGUAGUCUGCAACUCGACUACACGAAGCUGGAAUCGCUAGUAAUCGUAGAUCAGCAUGAUACGGUGAAUACGUUCCCGGGUCU
Molecule: ribosomal RNA, 1372 nt
Filed under: uncultured bacterium
Lineage: Bacteria
Description: bacterial SSU rRNA
Rfam family: Bacterial small subunit ribosomal RNA
Source: RNAcentral